Molecule: ribosomal RNA, 253 nt
Filed under: uncultured bacterium
Lineage: Bacteria
Description: partial 16S ribosomal RNA
Rfam family: Bacterial small subunit ribosomal RNA
Source: RNAcentral
UACGUAGGGUGCGAGCGUUGUCCGGAAUUAUUGGGCGUAAAGGGCUCGUAGGCGGUUUGUCGCGUCGGGAGUGAAAACCUUGGGCUUAACUCAGGGCUUGCUUUCGAUACGGGCAGACUAGAGGUAUGCAGGGGAGAACGGAAUUCCUGGUGUAGCGGUGAAGUGCGCAGAUAUCAGGAGGAACACCGGUGGCGAAGGCGGUUCUCUGGGCAUGAUCUGACGCUGAGGAGCGAAAGUGUGGGGAGCGAACAGG